UACGUAGGGGUCGAGCGUUGUCCGGAGUUACUGGGCGUAAAGCGUGCGCAGGCGGCUAUGCAAGACCGAUGUGAAAUCCCCGGGCUUAACCUGGGAAUGGCAUUGGUGACUGCACGGCUAGAGUGUGUCAGAGGGGGUAGAAUUCCACGUGUAGCAGUGAAAUGCGUAGAGAUGUGGAGGAAUACCGAUGGCGAAGGCAGCCCCCUGGGAUAACACUGACGCUCAUGCACGAAAGCGUGGGGAGCAAACAGG
RNAcentral lists this ribosomal RNA (252 nucleotides) under uncultured bacterium. Its description in RNAcentral is "partial 16S ribosomal RNA". It matches the Rfam family "Bacterial small subunit ribosomal RNA", at positions 524 to 776 of the family's 1533-position model. The record is from RNAcentral.